GUGAUUUUCACUUUUAUUGAGUCAUUUUCUAUUAAGGUAUCUUUACAUUUACUCAAGUAUGACAAUUGGGUACUUUUUCCAAAACUGAAUAUUUUUGUGUUAUGAUACUCUGCUUUCACUUGGUUUGGUGACGUGUAAUUCCGACAUGGUGUGAUAAUUUGAACUAUCAAACCCAAUUUUGAACUUCAUCCAUCAUAGUUUUUCUUAAUCUGUUCCCUAGUCAUCUCUUCAUCUGUUCCCUAGUCAUCUCUUCAUCUGUUCCCUAGUCAUCUCUUAAUCUGUUUCCUAGUCAUCUCUUCAUCUGUUCCCUAGUCAUCUCUUCAUCUGUUCCCUAGUCAUCUCUUCAUCUGUUUCCUAGAAUAGUAUAGGCUAUGUGCUGUUGAUGGAGAUGAUGAAGAUAGAUCUGGAGAUUGAGGGGAUGCCUGUUCCCUUCUAGAAGAUUUAAAGAUAAGCAUAUAAAUGCAGUUGUGACAACCUCUCUUUCUCUUUCUCUCUCUCUCCCUCGCUUUCUCUCUCUUGCUCUCUUCCGCUCUCUCGCUCUCUCUCUCUAUCUUUCUCCCUCUUUCGCCCUCUUUUUCCCUCCUUCUCUACCUCUCUCUUCCUCUCUCUCCCUCUCUUUCUCCAUCUCUUUCUCAAAGCAAUUCAAUAAACUUUAUUGACAUGGAAAGUUAAAUCACUUACAUUGUCCAAGUAAACAUACUGUACAAUAAAUAUGGUUGAAUACGACCAUAAUAUCUCCCGCCCCCUCUCUCACUCCUGCUCCAAACACACUCUCUAAGAGAUCAGUUAUAUGUAGUAGAAAGAGCAGAUCCAAAGAUGACAUCCUCUCUCUCCCUCUCUCCCCCUCUCUCCUUAUACAAGCCACACUCUGAUAGGUGAAGGAUCCUGUGGGGUUGAUGAACUGGAGCCUGCAGUAGGUUCCCGGUUAGGGUUGAUGGGCUGCAGCCUGCAGUAGGUUCCCGGUUAGGGUUGAUGGACUGGAGCCUGCAGUAGGUUCCCGGUUAGGGUUGAUGGACUGCAGCCUGCAGUAGGUUCCCGGUUAGGGUUGAUGGACUGCAGCCUGCAGUAGGUCCCCGGUUAGGGUUGAUGGACUGCAGCCUGCAGGAGGUUACUGGUUAGGGUUGAUGGACUGCAGCAUGCAGGAGGUUACCGGUUAGGGUUGAUGGACUGCAGCCUACAGUAGUAGGUCCCCGGUUAGGAUUGAUGGACUGCAGCCUACAGUAGUAGGUUACCGGUUAGGGUUGAUGGACUGCAGCCUACAGUAGUAGGUUACCGGUUAGGGUUGAUGGACUGCAGCCUACAGUAGUAGGUUACCGGUUAGGGUUGAUGGACUGCAGCCUACAGUAGUAGGUUACCGGUUAGGGUUGAUGGACUGCAGCCUACAGUAGUAGGUCCCCGGUUAGGGUUGAUGGACUGCAGCCUACAGUAGUAGGUUACCGGUUAGGGUUGAUGGACUGCAGCCUACAGUAGUAGGUUACCGGUUAGGGUUGAUGGACUGCAGCCUACAGUAGUAGGUUACCGGUUAGGGUUGAUGGACUGCAGCCUGCAGUAGGUCCCCGGUUAGGGUUGAUGGACUGCAGCCUGC
This is a long non-coding RNA of Oncorhynchus tshawytscha (Chinook salmon), 1585 nucleotides long. The record is from Ensembl. Lineage: Eukaryota; Metazoa; Chordata; Actinopteri; Salmoniformes; Salmonidae.